AGAGUUUGAUCAUGGCUCAGAUUGAACGCUGGCGGCGUGCCUAACACAUGCAAGUCGAGCGAAGCUUUGGGGCUUGCCCCAGAGACUUAGCGGCGCACGGGUGAGUAACACGUGGAUGAUCUACCCAUCAGUUUGGGAUAACAGUUGGAAACGACUGCUAAUACCGGAUACGAUCUUUUAUCASAUUAAGGUGAAAGGCGGCCUCUGCUUGCAAGCUGUCGCUGAUGGAUGAGUCCGCGGCUCAUUAGGUAGUUGGUAGGGUAACGGCCUACCAAGCCGACGAUGAGUAGCCGGCCUGAGAGGGUAAUCGGCCACACUGGGACUGGAACACGGCCCAGACUCCUACGGGAGGCAGCAGUGGGGAAUAUUGCGCAAUGGGCGAAAGCCUGACGCAGCGACGCCGCGUGAGGGAUGAAGGCCUUCGGGUCGUAAACCUCUGUCAGAAGGGAAGAACGGGCAUGGUGCUAAUCAGCCAUGUUUUGACGGUACCUUCAAAGGAAGCACCGGCUAACUCCGUGCCAGCAGCCGCGGUAAUACGGAGGGUGCAAGCGUUAAUCGGAAUCACUGGGCGUAAAGCGCGCGUAGGCGGCUUUGUAAGUCAGAGGUGAAAUCCCACGGCUCACCCGUGGAACUGCCUUUGAUACUGCAUUGCUUGAGUGAGUGAGAGGAUAGU
Molecule: ribosomal RNA, 673 nt
Filed under: uncultured bacterium
Lineage: Bacteria
Description: bacterial SSU rRNA
Rfam family: Bacterial small subunit ribosomal RNA
Source: RNAcentral